GUGGCCAACAUGACUGUCUUCGAGUUCCCACCGAGAUUUUCCUGGAAAGAGGAGACAGCAACACAUAUAUUGAGACGCAUUUUGGGAUGCAUUUUGUCUUCAAGUGACUAAUUGUAUUGUUUGGACGUUAAUCUCUAAGACUUGGAGCGAUAAGGCCGGGCAAAUUGAUAAGGCUCCACCCAUCUGUUUGCGUAAAACUACCGUGACAAAGGCACCUACUGAUGAUCAUUAUCACCCAACUUAUCAGAAACUGCAGUGCGAGGAGGAAGACGACAAUAGACAAGUUGUUGUGCCAAUCAAAUAAAUUUACUUGCUCUCACACAGAACAAAAUUAAAUUAUUUUAUUGUAAAUUUUACGAAUUUCUAAAUAAUUUUGAACCAGAUGUUUUCCAACAUUACAAGCAGAACAAAAAUGUAAUUUAAUUCUCAGGGAAGAGGAAGGAUUUGAACUCGGAAAUAUGAUAAUUUCCGUGGGCCCAUGUUAAACAUAUGCAAAAUUUAGAUAAAUAAACAUAAUUGUGCCGAUCCAUGUAUUUUUGUUGCUGUGUACAUUGCUCAUAUGUAUUCAAAUAUAGGUCAGCACCGUGGGCUAAACAAGAGGGCGAAUCGGAAAGAGGAUGGAUGAUUACACAAACUGCGCAGCAGCAGCGGCGUAGGCGUGCACAGUGGUCAAAACUAAAGUGUUUUCGCUUAAAAAAUUAUUUCCAUAACUCCAAGUGACCUCAAGGGGCCUGUCGUGGCUGCCUGAUUGUCUGAAACUGGGUCCAUUAACUGCAAAUUAAAUCAAUCAAUGCCGGGAAUCGACGUUAGUCAUCCGCGUACCAAAACGUUCCAUAUAACCACAUUUUGAACUAAAUAUAGGUUUUGAACGUCCUCCCACCUUUAAAAAUCUGUCACGAUCUCUGGUAAUGACCGAAAUUCGCAUGUAUUAAACUAAAACCGCAAAAACCCGCUAAAAAGGCGGUAUGUAUUAUAACGAAAAUACAACAAAAACCUUGAUCAGAACUGGCUAAAAUGACGUAGACCCUUUAUUAACACUAGGUUUACGCAAAUUUAC
This is a long non-coding RNA of Drosophila gunungcola (fruit fly), 1057 nucleotides long. RefSeq lists it as uncharacterized. The transcript is spliced from 3 exons. Lineage: Eukaryota; Metazoa; Arthropoda; Insecta; Diptera; Drosophilidae. The record is from RefSeq and is a predicted model, not a curated record.